This 471-nucleotide ribosomal RNA is filed under the name uncultured bacterium. Its description in RNAcentral is "bacterial SSU rRNA". It matches the Rfam family "Bacterial small subunit ribosomal RNA", at positions 33 to 518 of the family's 1533-position model. The record is from RNAcentral.
ACGACGCUGGCGGCGUGCCUAACACAUGCAAGUCGAGCGAGGAGAUCCUUCGGGAUGAUCCUAGCGGCGGACGGGUGAGUAACACGUGGGCAACCUGCCUCAUAGAGAGGAAUAGCCUUCCGAAAGGGAGAUUAAUACCUCAUAACAUUGCAGUUUCGCAUGGAACAGCAAUUAAAGGAGCAAUCCGCUAUGAGAUGGGCCCGCGGCGCAUUAGCUAGUUGGUGAGGUAACGGCUCACCAAGGCGACGAUGCGUAGCCGACCUGAGAGGGUGAUCGGCCACAUUGGGACUGAGACACGGCCCAGACUCCUACGGGAGGCAGCAGUGGGGAAUAUUGCACAAUGGGGGAAACCCUGAUGCAGCCAACGCCGCGUGAGUGAUGACGGCCUUCGGGUUGUAAAGCUCUGUCUUCAGGGACGAUAAUGACGGUACCUGAGGAGGAAGCCACGGCUAACUACGUGCCAGCAGCAGC